This 496-nucleotide ribosomal RNA is filed under the name uncultured bacterium. RNAcentral's name for it is "partial 16S ribosomal RNA". It matches the Rfam family "Bacterial small subunit ribosomal RNA", at positions 28 to 507 of the family's 1533-position model. The record is from RNAcentral.
GAUGAACGCUGGCGGCGUGCCUAAUACAUGCCAGUCGAGCGAACAGACGAGGAGCUUGCUCCUCUGACGUUAGCGGCGGACGGGUGAGUAACACGUGGAUAACCUACCUAUAGACUGGGAUAACUUCGGGAAACCGGAGCUAAUACCGGAUAAUAUAUUGAACCGCAUGGUUCAAUAGUGAAAGACGGUUUUGCUGUCACUUAUAGAUGGAUCCGCGCCGCAUUAGCUAGUUGGUAAGGUAACGGCUUACCAAGGCAACGAUGCGUAGCCGACCUGAGAGGGUGAUCGGCCACACUGGAACUGAGACACGGUCCAGACUCCUACGGGAGGCAGCAGUAGGGAAUCUUCCGCAAUGGGCGAAAGCCUGACGGAGCAACGCCGCGUGAGUGAUGAAGGUCUUCGGAUCGUAAAACUCUGUUAUUAGGGAAGAACAAAUGUGUAAGUAACUAUGCACGUCUUGACGGUACCUAAUCAGAAAGCCACGGCUAACUACGUG